CAACAAAAACAUCAAUGAGAUUCUGAACUGGAUGGUGAUAGAAAGAUGGGGAUGGAGAGGACUGGACCGUGCCAUGGGAAGAGCCAAAGAGAGGGACUGCCACUGAUAGAUGAGGAAACUGAGGGCAAGAAGUUGUCCAGACUGGAGUCAGGAGGACCAGCAUUCAAAUCUGACCUUAGACACUUCCAAUCUAUGUGACUCUGGGUAAGUCACUUAAUUCCAGUUGUCUAGCCCUUACCUCUCUUCUGCCUAAGAUUCUAAGACAGAAAGUAUGGGUUUUAAAAAAAAAAAGUACUUGCUCAAGGUCACACAGGAAUAAAUGGAGGUGAGAUUUGAAAUUCA
This 342-nucleotide long non-coding RNA is filed under the name Monodelphis domestica (gray short-tailed opossum). RNAcentral describes it as "lncRNA (ENSMODG00000031235.2)". Lineage: Eukaryota; Metazoa; Chordata; Mammalia; Didelphimorphia; Didelphidae. The record is from RNAcentral.